UAAGGAAUAUUGGUCAAUGGACGCGAGUCUGAACCAGCCAUGCCGCGUGAAGGAUGAAGGUCCUCUGGAUUGUAAACCUCUUUUAUCUGGGACGAAAACGGGAUUUUUAUCUCAAUUGACGGUACCAGAGGAAUAAGCACCGGCUAACUCCGUGCCAGCAGCCGCGGUAAUACGGAGGGUGCGAGCGUUAUCCGGAUUUACUGGGUUUAAAGGGUGCGUAGGUGGGCUUAUAAGUCAGUGGUGAAAUCUCCGAGCUUAACUUGGAAACUGCCGUUGAUACUAUAGGUCUUGAAUUAUCUGGAGGUAAGCGGAAUAUGUCAUGUAGCGGUGAAAUGCUUAGAUAUGACAUAGAACACCAAUUGCGAAGGCAGCUUACUACAUAUAAAUUGACGCUGAGGCACGAAAGCGUGGGGAUCAAACA
Molecule: ribosomal RNA, 421 nt
Filed under: uncultured bacterium
Lineage: Bacteria
Description: bacterial SSU rRNA
Rfam family: Bacterial small subunit ribosomal RNA
Source: RNAcentral